UCUACAAAGCCUCUAGACAAGAAACGUUAUCUUAUAAGGGUCGGGACAGGCCCCGCCUCAUGAUAAGAUACUAUACAAUGCAAAAAGAUAUGAUAAGACUCAAAGCCCCGAAGCAACCUGGAGCUCAGUGACUGCGGUUGAUAUCCUGUACUCUUACUAGGGAGGUUUAUUAGCUUCUGUACCUGCAGCAUGGAAUGCAGGUCCCCCAAGAGGGACGUCAGUACGAAAUAAUGUACUGAAUAUGUAAGGCAACAUGUACUAUAUAUGAGAUAAAAACUCAAAUGAAACCAUGUACUGCUGUAGGGUAAAAGACCACCUUUAUGAAUAUUGUGGAGUCAUGUAUCUUAUAACAAUUAUGUUACUUUACUCUUAUUACUUGAAUAAUCUGUGCACAGCAUGUAAUACAAAUGACCAGCUGAUCAGUGGUAAUUCUAUAUCAGGAUCGACCCAUGCUAGGCUUUCCUUUCACCCCUGGGAUACCCCCUGUAAUACUGGGAUUGACCCAUGCUAGGUGAUUCUUUCACCCCUGGGAUACCACCCAACAGAAGCAACUGUAUACAUAUAUCUUCUUAUUACUUUUGAGAUGAAUCUUUGGUGGUCGUAACAUUUGAGCUAUAAGACUAUAAGCAUGACAAAUGACAAGUAUGUGUCCAUGUAACAUCAUAUCAUAAUGAAAAGAGUGGGUUGUACAAUUAGUGAAACAUGUAGGACAUAAACAACGUAUGAACUUUAUUUAGCUAAAAAGAAGACUCAUAUGUCAUGGUACCCAAUGUAUGUAUGCAGCAGUGACAAUGCUCGAAUCUGGACACACAAGUACAUGUUAAAGAGUGGAGUGGUUAUGUCAAAGUUUGUAAAGAUCUCUAUGUGCCAAUGAAGACUUUGGAUUCCAUGCCAAAUAAUAAGAGAUCGAAUAGCCUUACAUACCUCGACAUAUCAACUUGUUUUUACGUCGAAAUGACUUCUUUUCUUCCAACUAUUUAUCUACAAUAUCAUGUUUUAAAGCUAGUAUUAGCAGCUAAUCAAUGCAUCUGGACAGCCCAAUCUCACAAGACACAACACUUUGGCAACAAACGUAUAACCAUCAACUCAAUGGUGUUAUUCCGACUUUCUCAAUUCUAACUGUAUUCAACCAGCAUAGAUUAUCAUAUACAUGAUGUAUACAGCCUAUAUUAGUUCUAUAACAUGCUGGCAACAGUCCAUAACUACAACACAUAACCAUUUUACAAAACGCUCAACUAAGAAGCACAACAUCUCGUCGUCUCCCUACAUUUCGUCGUUAACAAUUCAUACUUGUCCCAACUUUGAACCAGAUGCUCCCAACAUAUAUAUACAUCAAAUAAACCUUAACAUAGUCACAAAAUAUCUCAAAACGUAGGGGGAAACGUGAAACAACAUCCCCCUCAACAAAACAGUCCAAUACCAUUUUGGAAGCACAUAAGAUCAUAUAAGGAUACUUGUUUCCAAAGAACUAGCAAAACAGUCCAGCAACCUUGGCAACCAUAUACACACUAUAACAUGUUAAUAACCUCAACUUUAUAUCAUAUUAAAGUCAAAAAUCAGGGUAAGAAUCGUUCCAAAGCCAAGAAAACCAAACAACAACUUUCAGGACACAAGCUGUCCAGAAAUUCCUGCACAGUGAACCAGCCAACUUAUCUUGUUUUCCAUGGAAAAUUCAUAUCAAAUAUAUGGUUAUUUUUACAUACCUUAACUCCCAAGGUGUAGGUCUAAUUCAAGAACUCAAAAAGUAGCCUUUGGUUGCCUUCCAAGGUGAAGAAAUGCCAAGAGAAACUUAGAGAGAACAGCUGAAAUUUUUUUGGUCUUUUAUUGAUUAACCUAGGGAGCUCGGUUUUGGUCCCUUUUUAAGGAGACUUUAGACCGACUUUCUCCUUAUAUUUGCAGCUGAUUAACUCAAAUUGGUCAAUGACUAAUUUUCCCCUUUCACUUGGGCCUUUUGGAUCUCUAAAUCAAUGGGCUUUAGUGGCCCAUUUCCUUAAUCUUUCUUGCACUUUGUUUGGGCCCAAUUUUGUUAGUAGUGAAUGAAUGUAGUUGGGCCUAUUAUAUAAAAAUUUUGGGCUGAACAUCUUGGCCCAAUAUAAUGUUAAACCAUUGGCUUAAAUAGCCUCCCUAACUUGGGCUUCGUUUGUCACAAGACUUGGAAAGUUUCGGCGUUAAGCCUUGUCUUCGUUCCCCUUUCUUUUUAUUUUACUAACGUCUAGACUUCAAGUGAGUUCACUUAUGAAUGAAUUCUUCUCCCUCAUGAUAUAUAAUUUUUAAGCUAAGCACACAGGUGACUCACCUGCUAGCUUCCUAAGUUCCAUAAGCAUGUCAAUGAUUUUCUCCGUUUAAGGCCACAGUCUCUAAAUAGAUUUCCAUAUAGUGCCCC
RNAcentral lists this long non-coding RNA (2383 nucleotides) under Capsicum annuum. RNAcentral's name for it is "long non-coding RNA (CANN_LNC002725)". The record is from RNAcentral. Lineage: Eukaryota; Viridiplantae; Streptophyta; Magnoliopsida; Solanales; Solanaceae.